This 465-nucleotide ribosomal RNA is filed under the name uncultured bacterium. RNAcentral's name for it is "bacterial SSU rRNA". It matches the Rfam family "Bacterial small subunit ribosomal RNA", at positions 338 to 795 of the family's 1533-position model. The record is from RNAcentral.
CCUACGGGAUGCAGCAGUGGGGAAUAUUGCACAAUGGGCGCAAGCCUGAUGCAGCCAUGCCGCGUGUGUGAAGAAGGCCUUCGGGUUGUAAAGCACUUUCAGCGGGGAGGAAGGCGGUGAGGUUAAUAACCUCGUAGAUUGACGUUACCCGCAGAAGAAGAACCGGCUAACUCCGUGCCAGCAGCCGCGGUAAUACGGAGGGUGCAAGCGUUAAUCGGAAUUACUGGGCGUAAAGCGCACGCAGGCGUUCUGUCAAGUCGGAUGUGAAAUCCCCGGGCUCAACCUGGGAACUGCAUUCGAAACUGGCAGGCUAGAGUCUUGUAGAGGGGGGUAGAAUUCCAGGUGUAGCGGUGAAAUGCGUAGAGAUCUGGAGGAAUACCGGUGGCGAAGGCGGCCCCCUGGACAAAGACUGACGCUCAGGUGCGAAAGCGUGGGGAGCAAACAGGAUUAGAUACCCGGGUAGUC